This 622-nucleotide long non-coding RNA is filed under the name Marmota monax (woodchuck). Lineage: Eukaryota; Metazoa; Chordata; Mammalia; Rodentia; Sciuridae. The record is from RNAcentral.
GGAGGGCCUCCUGUCAGGAAACCCCACCUGCAGUUUGGCCCUCAGCCACGAGGUGGCACUGUAGACUGCUUUGAGCGACUCUUGGGCAGAGGCUGCAGGUGAUUCUGGAGGAGUGUGGAGUCUCUUGGUUUCCCUCCCAGAGCAGCCACAGGGCAGGCAGAUGUGAGAGCCAGAGAAACCCGAGGUAAGAGAAUGACAUCUGGAAAGUGGAGCCAGGUGAGAUGCCCCGGGAUAUCUCCAGAGGAAUCCAAUAUUUAUAGAUAAUUCACAAAAUAGAAAAUACCACCAGCUAACACACAUUGGGGAACCUUCCAUGUCCUGGAGGGGUGGCAGAUCAAUAGCGGGGGCGGAAGUUCCACUGUGAGAAUGUGUGACUCAGUGAUUGGGGGCCUGGUCCCAGGGCGAUAUGUGCCCAGGUGAGAACUCAGAGGGUCCUGCAGUGGGAGGGUCAAGGCUUGGCUCCUUAAAUUCCAGUCUCUGCUGGGGCUGAGAGAAUUGCUUGGGUGGGAUGGGGUCGGUUCCCACAGGGGAUCCUUGAGAACCCAGUGUGUCUGACCUUAGCUCUUAUCAUCCAGGGAAGAGAUUUCUGAACUGAAACUGCCUCAAGGAGAGGAGAGUCAGG